Molecule: ribosomal RNA, 439 nt
Filed under: uncultured bacterium
Lineage: Bacteria
Description: partial 16S ribosomal RNA
Rfam family: Bacterial small subunit ribosomal RNA
Source: RNAcentral
CCUACGGGUGGCUGCAGUGGGGGAUAUUGCACAAUGGGCGAAAGCCUGAUGCAGCGACGCCGCGUGAGUGAAGACGGUCUUCGGUUUGUAAACCUCUGUCAGCGGGGAAGAAGAUGACGGUACCCAACGAGGAAGCUCCGGCUAACUACGUGCCAGCAGCCGCGGUAAUACGUAGGGAGCAAGCGUUGUCCGGAAUUACUGGGUGUAAAGGGAGCGUAGGCGGGAUGGCAAGUAGAAGGGAAAACCCGACGGCCCAACCGGUGGCUGCGUUCUAAACUGCCGGGCUUGAGUGAAGUAGAGGCAGGCGGAAUUCCUAGUGUAGCGGUGAAAUGCGUAGAUAUUAGGAGGAACACCAGUGGCGAAGGCGGCCUGCUGGGCUUUAACUGACGCUGAGGCUCGAAGGCGUGGGGAGCAAACAGGAUUAGAUACCCCGGUAGUC